CACGGCAGCAGGAAGAGUGAGGACUGAGGAGACGUCACGUCAGUGCACUCAGCCCCUGCACAGUGCGGAGCCUUGCCGGAGCCAGAGCUAGCCUAGGAGGUGGAAAGUGUGCAACUUGUGGAAAAUGAAAACAUAUGUAAAGCUCCCUAGUCGUACAAGAACAGCACAGAUGUGGUGAACACGUGCCAUGAUGCCGGCAUCAGCAAGAAAGCCAUCAAGCUGCGCCCUAUUGCCGUAAUUAAGGGUUGAGAGCAGCCAGCAGGGGUUCCGGACUGUGCAGAGAAUUGACAUCAACACUUAGAAUCGGGUCACAUGACUGAUUUACGCAUCAUCGCUUAUCCUCAACCUGACCAUGUUUUUAUUCUAUUUUGUUUUUUCUUUCAUUUAUCCAUAUGAGGGUCAUAUGGCUGCUUCCUCUGGCAAUGAAUUGGCCAUGGAGAGCCGGGUAUCAGGUCCACAAGCUCUCCUUUCGCUAUGUUUGCGUUAGAAUUUUUUUCUGUUCGUUUUCCUUAUAUAGAUAAUAGAAAAGUUGUGAGAACAGGUCAGGUUGUCAGGAUCUCCUAAAAUAAAAACAGUGACUUACUCAG
Molecule: long non-coding RNA, 587 nt
Organism: Pseudophryne corroboree (corroboree frog)
Lineage: Eukaryota; Metazoa; Chordata; Amphibia; Anura; Myobatrachidae
Exons: 2
Source: RefSeq, a predicted model, not a curated record